This 1294-nucleotide ribosomal RNA is filed under the name wastewater metagenome. RNAcentral's name for it is "bacterial LSU rRNA". It matches the Rfam family "Bacterial large subunit ribosomal RNA", at positions 605 to 1977 of the family's 2925-position model. The record is from RNAcentral.
CUUUUGCAUAAUGAGCCGGCUAGUAGAUGUCACAGGCAAGGUUAAAUGAUAAUUGAGCCGAAGCGAAAGCGAGUCUUAAUAGGGCGUAUAGUCUGUGGUAUCUGGACGUGAAACGGGAUGAUCUAGGCUUGGGCAGGUUGAAGCGUGGGUAACACCACGUGGAGGACCGAACCAGUUAAGGUUGAAAACUUUUUGGAUGACCUGAGCCUAGGGGUGAAAGGCUAAUCAAAUUCCGUGAUAGCUCGUUCUCGUCGAAAUAUCUUUAGGGAUAGCCUCGGAUGUAUCAUUGUGGUGGUAGAGCACUGACUGGACUAGGGGCCUCACAAGGUUACCGAAUUCAAUCAAACUCCGAAUGCCAUAAAUGUCUGUCCGGGAGUCAGACUGCGGGUGCUAAGAUUCGUAGUCGAGAGGGAAAGAGCCCAGAUCAACAGCUAAGGUCCCAAAGUGAUAGUUAAGUGGAAAAGGAAGUGGGGAAGCACUGACAGCCAGGAGGUUUGCUUAGAAGCAGCAAUCCUUUAAAGAAAGCGUAAUAGCUCACUGGUCAAGUAGCCCUGCACCGACAAUAUAACGGGGCUUAAACUAUCCACCGAAGCUUUGAAUGAAUAUUUAUAUUCAUGGUAGACGAGCAUUCUGUAGCUGUGAAGCGGUUCCGUAAGGUCCGUUGGAGCAAUCAGAAAAGACUUUGUCGGCAUUAGUAGCGAUAACGUAUGUGAGAACCAUACGCACCGAAAACCUAAGGUUUCCUGCGUCAAGUUAAUCUGCGCAGGGUUAGUCUGUACCUAAGGCGAGGCCGAAAGGCGUAGUCGAUGGAAAUCCAGUUAAUAUUCUGGAACCAAGGGUAUGUGAUGUGGGUUGACGCACCAGGGUAGUCAAGACAGCCGAUGGAAGUGCUGUUGAAGUAAAUAGGCCGUAGCUUAGGUAAAUCCGGGCUGCACAAGGNNUCUAUACAUACUCCACUGGCAGUACCGCAAACCGACACAGGUAGGUGGGAUGAGAAUUCUAAGGUGCUUGUGAGAACCCUCGUUCAGGAACUCGGCAAAAUGUAACCGUAACUUCGGGAGAAGGUUAGCCGUGUUCACCAAGAACACGGUCGCAGAGAAAUGUUUCAGGCGACUGUUUAACAAAAACACAGGUCUCCGCAAAGUUGUAAAGACAACGUAUGGGGGCUGACGCCUGCCCAAUGCUGGAAGGUUAAAAGGAGUGGUUAGGAGUAAUCCGAAGCUGCGAAUUGAAGCCCCAGUGAAUGGCGGCCGUAACUAUAACGGUCCUAAGGUAGCGAAAUUCCUUGUCGGGU